RNAcentral lists this ribosomal RNA (508 nucleotides) under uncultured Lachnospiraceae bacterium. RNAcentral's name for it is "partial 16S ribosomal RNA". The record is from RNAcentral. Lineage: Bacteria; Bacillati; Bacillota; Clostridia; Lachnospirales; Lachnospiraceae.
CACGUAGUUAGCCGGGGCUUCUUAGUCAGGUACCGUCUUUCUUCUUCCCUGCUGAUAGAGCUUUACAUACCGAAAUACUUCUUCACUCACGCGGCGUUGCUGCAUCAGGGUUUCCCCCAUUGUGCAAUAUUCCCCACUGCUGCCUCCUGUAGGAGUUUGGGCCGUGUCUCAGUCCCAAUGUGGCCGGCCACCCUCUCAGGUCGGCUACUGAUCGUCGCCUUGGUGGGCCGUUACCUCACCAACCAGCUAAUCAGACGCGGAUCCAUCCCAUACCACCGGAGUUUUUCACACCGGACCAUGCGGUCUUGUGCGCUUAUGCGGUAUUAGCAGUCAUUUCUAACUGUUAUCCCCCUGUAUGAGGCAGGUUAUCCACGCGUUACUCACCCGUCCGCCGCUAAGUCAUAUCUGCUUCCAUCCGAAAACGUCCGCUAAUACGCUUCGCUCGACUUGCGUGUGUUAGUACGACGCCGCCCGACGCGUCGUCUCUCGUAGCGACGAGUACUAACUA